Molecule: non-coding RNA, 28 nt
Filed under: Cricetulus griseus (Chinese hamster)
Lineage: Eukaryota; Metazoa; Chordata; Mammalia; Rodentia; Cricetidae
Source: RNAcentral
CAAAUGGGAGGAGACCCAGCUCUGGAGA